GAGCUUAUGAUGAUAAUUUUUAAAUAUCUUAGCGGAUUUCAGUGAGACCUUAGGGUGAAUGAUCUGAUUGUUACACACACUGAGGCUC
Molecule: small nucleolar RNA, 88 nt
Organism: Prunus persica (peach)
Lineage: Eukaryota; Viridiplantae; Streptophyta; Magnoliopsida; Rosales; Rosaceae
Rfam family: Small nucleolar RNA R11/Z151
About the family: snoR11/Z151 is a member of the C/D class of snoRNA which contain the C (UGAUGA) and D (CUGA) box motifs. Most of the members of the box C/D family function in directing site-specific 2'-O-methylation of substrate RNAs.
Source: Rfam